UCAAAUGAAUUGACGGGGCCGCACAAGCGGAGGAACAUGUGGUUUAAUUCGAUGAUACGCGAGGAACCUUACCUGGGCUUAAAUGGGGAGUGACAGCUGGCGAAAGUUGGUUUUCUUCGGACACUCUUCAAGGUGCUGCAUGGUUGUCGUCAGCUCGUGCCGUGAGGUGUCGGGUUAAGUCCCAUAACGAGCGCAACCCUUACUGUUAGUUGCCAGCGGGUCAAGCCGGGAACUCUAACGGGACUGCCACCGUAAGGUGAGAGGAAGGUGGGGAUGACGUCAAAUCAUCAUGCCCCUUAUGACCUGGGCUACACACGUGCUACAAUGGUUGGUACAACGAGUUGCGAGUCGGUGACGGCGAGCUAAUCUCUUAAAGCCAAUCUCAGUUCGGAUUGUAGGCCGCAACUCGCCUACAUGAAGUCGGAAUCGCUAGUAAUCGCGGAUCAGCACGCCGCGGUGAAUACGUUCCCGGGCCUU
RNAcentral lists this ribosomal RNA (477 nucleotides) under uncultured Sphingobacteriales bacterium. RNAcentral's name for it is "bacterial SSU rRNA". It matches the Rfam family "Bacterial small subunit ribosomal RNA", at positions 901 to 1382 of the family's 1533-position model. The record is from RNAcentral. Lineage: Bacteria; Pseudomonadati; Bacteroidota; Sphingobacteriia; Sphingobacteriales.